RNAcentral lists this ribosomal RNA (465 nucleotides) under uncultured bacterium. Its description in RNAcentral is "partial 16S ribosomal RNA". It matches the Rfam family "Bacterial small subunit ribosomal RNA", at positions 28 to 507 of the family's 1533-position model. The record is from RNAcentral.
GACGAACGCUGGCGGCGUGCUUAACACAUGCAAGUCGAACGGAAAGGCCCCUUUGGGGGUACUCGAGUGGCGAACGGGUGAGUAACACAUGGGUAACCUGCCCUUGACUUCGGGAUAACUUCAGGAAACUGGGGCUAAUACCGGAUAGGAAUCCUUGCUGCAUGGUGGGGGUUGGAAAGCUUCGGCGGUUUUGGAUGGACUCGCGGCUUAUCAGCUUGUUGGUGGGGUAGUGGCUUACCAAGGCUUUGACGGGUAGCCGGCCUGAGAGGGCGACCGGCCACAUUGGGACUGAGAUACGGCCCAGACUCCUACGGGAGGCAGCAGUGGGGAAUAUUGCACAAUGGGCGGAAGCCUGAUGCAGCAACGCCGCGGGCGGGAUGACGGCCUUCGGGUUGUAAACCGCUUUCAGCAGGGGCGAAGCUUGUGGUGACGGUACCUGCAGAAGAAGCACCGGCUAACUACGUG